UAUAUACAUUUUUAAAUAUGUACCAGCUUUAGUAAAUAAAACAAUUUAUGUAAGUUUCAAUAGUGAGCUUUUGGACAAAACGACGAAAGAUAAUAGCUGAUGUUGAAUAUUGCCUAAAAGAUCUUACCAUUAAAUCAAGCAAUAUUUCACAUUCACCAGAAGAAGUACAAUCAUUGUAUUUAAAAAGUAUAUCAGAUCGAAAACUUUCAACUGAGAGUGCUGUUCCCUAAAAUAAUAGCUGUGGCAAGUAAAGGAAGCCAGACUUUAAAGGAGGCUGUCCAGAGAAUGUCCUUUGCGUUAUUCACUAAUAACCUCUGCUGUAAACUUAACUGGUCUGGUAUUACCAUAAAUGACAAUGAAAGUAACUUUGUAAAACAAAGACUUACACUUGCUUAAAAGAGCUGUAAAAAGAAAUCCUGGAACAACUUCAGCAACUGAAUCAGAUUUUCAAUAUGAGGUUGUGCGUUUUUUGCGUGGUGCAUCAGAUCGCAAUGGCAGAAAAAAAGUUAGACAGGAC
Molecule: non-coding RNA, 517 nt
Organism: Hydra vulgaris (swiftwater hydra)
Lineage: Eukaryota; Metazoa; Cnidaria; Hydrozoa; Anthoathecata; Hydridae
Source: RefSeq, a predicted model, not a curated record